UUGUUUUUCGUCUUGAGAUCAGACUAUACUCCCAUCAGUCUUUGGUUGGUAGGUAGUAAGAGACUACCAAGGCAAUGACGGGUAGCGGGUUUGAGAGGAUGAUCCGCCACACUGGUACUGAGACACGGACCAG
RNAcentral lists this ribosomal RNA (133 nucleotides) under uncultured bacterium. RNAcentral describes it as "partial 16S ribosomal RNA". It matches the Rfam family "Bacterial small subunit ribosomal RNA", at positions 208 to 334 of the family's 1533-position model. The record is from RNAcentral.